RNAcentral lists this ribosomal RNA (445 nucleotides) under uncultured bacterium. RNAcentral describes it as "partial 16S ribosomal RNA". It matches the Rfam family "Bacterial small subunit ribosomal RNA", at positions 354 to 796 of the family's 1533-position model. The record is from RNAcentral.
GUGAGGAAUAUUGCGCAAUGGAGGCAACUCUGACGCAGCCAUGCCGCGUGCAGGAAGAAGGCGCUACGCGUUGUUAACUGCUUUUAACCGGGAAGAAACCCCAGGACGUGUCCUGGGUUGACGGUACCGGAGGAAUAAGCACCGGCUAACUUCGUGCCAGCAGCCGCGGUAAUACGAAGGGUGCAAGCGUUAUCCGGAUUCAUUGGGUUUAAAGGGUGCGUAGGCGGAGCGUUAAGUCAGUGGUGAAAUCCUGCAGCUUAACUGUAGACUUGCCAUUGAUACUGGCGCUCUUGAGUGCGCUUGAAGUGGGCGGAAUGUGCCGUGUAGCGGUGAAAUGCUUAGAUAUGGCACAGAACACCAAUUGCGAAGGCAGCUCACUAAGGCGAUACUGACGCUGAGGCACGAAAGCGUGGGGAUCGAACAGGAUUAGAAACCCCGGUAGUCC